RNAcentral lists this ribosomal RNA (369 nucleotides) under Escherichia coli. RNAcentral's name for it is "bacterial LSU rRNA". It matches the Rfam family "Bacterial large subunit ribosomal RNA", at positions 2579 to 2925 of the family's 2925-position model. Lineage: Bacteria; Pseudomonadati; Pseudomonadota; Gammaproteobacteria; Enterobacterales; Enterobacteriaceae. The record is from RNAcentral.
GUUCGCCAUUUAAAGUGGUACGCGAGCUGGGUUUAGAACGUCGUGAGACAGUUCGGUCCCUAUCUGCCGUGGGCGCUGGAGAACUGAGGGGGGCUGCUCCUAGUACGAGAGGACCGGAGUGGACGCAUCACUGGUGUUCGGGUUGUCAUGCCAAUGGCACUGCCCGGUAGCUAAAUGCGGAAGAGAUAAGUGCUGAAAGCAUCUAAGCACGAAACUUGCCCCGAGAUGAGUUCUCCCUGACCCUUUAAGGGUCCUGAAGGAACGUUGAAGACGACGACGUUGAUAGGCCGGGUGUGUAAGCGCAGCGAUGCGUUGAGCUAACCGGUACUAAUGAACCGUGAGGCUUAACCUUACAACGCCGAAGCUGUU